This 86-nucleotide transfer RNA is filed under the name Actinomycetota bacterium. RNAcentral describes it as "tRNA-Leu". It matches the Rfam family "tRNA". Rfam says of the family: Transfer RNA (tRNA) molecules are approximately 80 nucleotides in length. Their secondary structure includes four short double-helical elements and three loops (D, anti-codon, and T loops). Lineage: Bacteria; Bacillati; Actinomycetota. The record is from RNAcentral.
GCCGAAGUGGCGGAACUGGCAGACGCGCUGGACUCAAAAUCCAGUGGGACUCACGUCCCGUGUGGGUUCGACUCCCACCUUCGGCA